This 77-nucleotide small RNA is filed under the name Xanthomonas oryzae pv. oryzae. RNAcentral describes it as "sX9". It matches the Rfam family "Xanthomonas sRNA sX9". The record is from RNAcentral. Lineage: Bacteria; Pseudomonadati; Pseudomonadota; Gammaproteobacteria; Lysobacterales; Lysobacteraceae.
AUGGACCACGCGUCCACUGCGGUUCUGAGCGCGCCGUCCGCGCCCACCUGACAGCUGCUCGCUANUACCUGUUGUUC